This 497-nucleotide ribosomal RNA is filed under the name uncultured bacterium. RNAcentral describes it as "partial 16S ribosomal RNA". It matches the Rfam family "Bacterial small subunit ribosomal RNA", at positions 28 to 507 of the family's 1533-position model. The record is from RNAcentral.
GAUGAACGCUGGCGGCGUGCCUAAUACAUGCAAGUCGAGCGAACAGACGAGGAGCUUGCUCCUCUGACGUUAGCGGCGGACGGGUGAGUAACACGUGGAUAACCUCCCUAUAAGACUGGGAUAACUUCGGGAAACCGGAGCUAAUACCGGAUAAUAUAUUGAACCGCAUGGUUCAAUAGUGAAAGACGGUUUUGCUGUCACUUCUAGAUGGAUCCGCGCCGCAUUAGCUAGUUGGUAAGGUAAAGGCUUACCAAGGCAACGAUGCGUAGCCGACCUGAGGGAGGGAUCGGCCACACUGGAACUGGGACACGGUCCAUACUCCUACGGGAGGCAGCAGUAGGGAAUCUUCCGCAAUGGGCGGGAGCCUGGCGGAGCGACGCCGCGCGUGUUAUGAAGGUCUUCGGAUCGUAAAACUCGGUUAUUAGGGAAGAACAAAUGUGUAAGGAACUAUGCACGUCGUGACGGUACCGAAUCAGAAAGCCACGGCUAACUACGUG